ACGGGGCCCGCACAAGCGGUGGAGCAUGUGGUUUAAUCGAUGCAACACGAAGAACCUUACCAGGGCUUGACAUGACAGACGUAGUGGACCCGAAAGGCGAACCACCCGUUAAAUCGGGAGCUGCCACAAAUGCUGCAUGGCUGUCGUCAGCUCGUGCCGUGAGGUGUUGGGUUAAGUCCCGCAACGAGCGCAACCCUCAUUGCCAGUUGAUUUCUCUGGCGAGACUGCCCCGCAAAACGGGGAGGAAGGUGGGGAUGAUGUCAAGUCAGCAUGGCCUUUAUAUCCUGGGCUACACACACGCUACAAUGGCCAACACAAUAGGUUGCUAAGCCGCGAGGUGGCGCCAAUCCAUAAAGUUGGUCUCAGUUCAGAUUGUAGGCUGCAACCCGCCUGCAUGAAGAUGGAGUUGCUAGUAACCGCAGGUCAGCUAUACUGCGGUGAAUACGUUCCCGGGGCUU
Molecule: ribosomal RNA, 458 nt
Filed under: uncultured Chloroflexota bacterium
Lineage: Bacteria; Bacillati; Chloroflexota
Description: bacterial SSU rRNA
Rfam family: Bacterial small subunit ribosomal RNA
Source: RNAcentral